AGAACGAACGCUGGCGGCAUGCCUAACACAUGCAAGUCGAACGCUUGCCCGGUUUCGGCCGGGCAGGAGUGGCGCACGGGUGAGUAGCGCGUGGGAACCUGCCCUGUUGUGGGGGAUAACCGAGGGAAACUUCGGCUAAUACCGCAUGCGCCCCGGGGAAACCCGGGGGAAAGAUUUAUCGCAGCAGGAGGGGCCCGCGUCGGAUUAGCUAGUUGGUGGGGUAACGGCCCACCAAGGCUGUGAUCCGUAGCUGGUCUGAGAGGAUGAUCAGCCACACUGGGACUGAGACACGGCCCAGACUCCUACGGGAGGCAGCAGUGGGGAAUAUUGGACAAUGGGCGCAAGCCUGAUCCAGCAAUGCGCGUGAGUGAUGAAGGCCUUAGGGUUGUAAAGCUCUUUCGCCCGCGACGAUGAUGACGGUAGCGGGAGAAGAGCCCGGCUAACUUCGUGCCAGCAGCCGC
This 461-nucleotide ribosomal RNA is filed under the name uncultured bacterium. RNAcentral describes it as "SSU rRNA". It matches the Rfam family "Bacterial small subunit ribosomal RNA", at positions 26 to 518 of the family's 1533-position model. The record is from RNAcentral.